CCUACGGGCGGCAGCAGUGAGGAAUAUUGGUCAAUGGGCGAGAGCCUGAACCAGCCAAGUCGCGUGAGGGAGUACUGCCCUAUGGGUUGUAAACCUCUUUUGUCGGGGAGCAAAAGCCGGACGUGUCCGGCUGUGAGAGUACCCGAAGAAAAAGCAUCGGCUAACUCCGUGCCAGCAGCCGCGGUAAUACGGAGGAUGCGAGCGUUAUCCGGAUUUAUUGGGUUUAAAGGGUGCGCAGGCGGAUUUUUAAGUCAGCGGUAAAAUCGUGGGGCUCAACCCCAUCCAGCCGUUGAAACUGGGGAUCUAGAGUGUGCGAGAGGUAUGCGGAAUGCGUGGUGUAGCGGUGAAAUGCAUAGAUAUCACGCAGAACCCCGAUUGCGAAGGCAGCAUACCGGUGAACAACUGACGCUCAGGCACGAAAGCGUGGGUAUCGAACAGGAUUAGAUACCCUUGUAGUC
RNAcentral lists this ribosomal RNA (458 nucleotides) under uncultured bacterium. RNAcentral describes it as "partial 16S ribosomal RNA". It matches the Rfam family "Bacterial small subunit ribosomal RNA", at positions 338 to 795 of the family's 1533-position model. The record is from RNAcentral.